This 99-nucleotide small RNA is filed under the name Salmonella enterica subsp. enterica serovar Typhimurium str. LT2. RNAcentral describes it as "regulatory RNA". Lineage: Bacteria; Pseudomonadati; Pseudomonadota; Gammaproteobacteria; Enterobacterales; Enterobacteriaceae. RNAcentral also lists the same sequence under 2 other names. The record is from RNAcentral.
GAAGAUGUUUUGGCGGUUAAGAGAAGAUUUUCAGCACUGAUUCAGAUUACAUCAGAACGUAAAAACGGUCUGAUAACAGAAUUUGCCUGGCGGCACUAG